Molecule: long non-coding RNA, 668 nt
Organism: Oreochromis niloticus (Nile tilapia)
Lineage: Eukaryota; Metazoa; Chordata; Actinopteri; Cichliformes; Cichlidae
Exons: 6
Source: RefSeq, a predicted model, not a curated record
AAAGUUUGUCUGGUCUGCAGAUGUUCAUUCAGCAGCGUCUCUCACAGUGAGUCCUGACAGAGUGCAACACUUCACCUCUGACUCUGUCUCACUGACCUGUGAGGGAAACUUCACUGAGUGGAGAGUGAGGAAGUUCUCUGAGGACGGCCGACUGUACUCUGACUGUAGGAGAAUGACUGGAUCCACAUGUAACAUCAACACAUCAAAGUCAGAUACUGCAGUGUACUGGUGUGAGUCUGGAUCAGGAGAGUUCAGCAGUGCAGUCAACAUCACUGUACAGAGUGCAGAUAAACCCCCAGAUGUCAUUUACUCUAAUAUUGAACUUGAAAACUUUGGAAAUAAGUGGAAGCAUCAUAAACCAGAGCAGAGUGCUGUUUACACUAAUGUGAAGACAGGAGCUGCAGAGGACAGUCUGAUGUAUGCUGAGGUCAAACAGCCCAAAAAAGAAAAAGCCAAGAAAAACAAAGGAAAAUCAAGUCCUGCAGCUGAUGCAGCAGUUUAUUCUGAAGUCACAUCAGGAAGCUCUCUCAGUAAUUCUGCUGCCAUGCAGGCUGAUUUAUUCUUCACAUUAUUAAAUGUCUUCAGCUCAUAAUAUCUUUACAUGUUGGAAAUCACUUUGUCUUUUUGUGCUUGUCUUACAGGUCAGUGAGGAGAGCUGUAGCAGCAAA